CCAUUGUACCAAAUAUGGCACUCAUAUAUGGAGUUAUUACAGCACCAGAUUUUAGUGUUAUUAAAACACUCAUUUUGGAGUUGUAACAGCAUGAAAAUGUGCUGUACUUGCACUUUCUUGGAGUUACUGCAACUCCAAACUGUGUGUAACUUUUACAACUACACCUACAAUGGUGUUAUUAAAGCACUGGGGAUGGGUGCUGCUGUUACUACAGGAUGAAUUCAAGGGCAACAGAAGAAUCUGUUCUCAAGUAUCAAGUAUUUGUAACUGUUUAUGCAUUACAUACGUGGAGCAGCAGCUUGACAAAUAUCAUUUGUACUGCAUCCUUCUUCUUACAGUAUUAUCUUCAGAACUGAAUAAAAAAAAUGUAUGUUUGAAGA
This is a long non-coding RNA of Halichondria panicea, 380 nucleotides long. RefSeq lists it as uncharacterized. NCBI's taxonomy places the organism in Eukaryota, Metazoa, Porifera, Demospongiae, Suberitida, Halichondriidae. The transcript is spliced from 2 exons. The record is from RefSeq and is a predicted model, not a curated record.